CAGCAGCCGCGGGAAAACGAAGGGGGCUAGCGUUGUUCGGAUUUACUGGGCGUAAAGCGCACGUAGGCGGACUUUUAAGUCAGGGGUGAAAUCCCGGGGCUCAACCCCGGAACUGCCUUUGAUACUGGAAGUCUUGAGUAUGGUAGAGGUGAGUGGAAUUCCGAGUGUAGAGGUGAAAUUCGUAGAUAUUCGGAGGAACACCAGUGGCGAAGGCGGCUCACUGGACCAUUACUGACGCUGAGGUGCGAAAGCGUGGGGAGCAAACAGGAUUAGAUACCCGUGUAGUCCCUGUCUCUUAUAC
This 301-nucleotide ribosomal RNA is filed under the name uncultured bacterium. RNAcentral's name for it is "partial 16S ribosomal RNA". It matches the Rfam family "Bacterial small subunit ribosomal RNA", at positions 509 to 807 of the family's 1533-position model. The record is from RNAcentral.